Molecule: ribosomal RNA, 460 nt
Filed under: uncultured bacterium
Lineage: Bacteria
Description: partial 16S ribosomal RNA
Rfam family: Bacterial small subunit ribosomal RNA
Source: RNAcentral
CCUACGGGAGGCAGCAGUGAGGAAUAUUGGUCAAUGGGCUUACGCCUGAACCAGCCAAGUCGCGUGAGGGAAGACUGCCCUAUGGGUUGUAAACCUCUUUUGUCAGGGAGCAACGCCGGCUACGUGUAGCCGGACUGAGAGUACCUGCAGAAAAAGCAUCGGCUAACUCCGUGCCAGCAGCAGCGGUAAUCCGGAGGAUGCGAGCGUUAUCCGGAUUUAUGGGGUUUAAAGGGUGCGUAGGCGGAAUGCCAAGUCAGCGGUAAAAUCGCGGGGCUCAACCUCGCUCCGCCGUUGAAACUGGCGUUCUUGAGUGGGCGAGAAGUAUGCGGAAUGCGUGGUGUAGCGGUGAAAUGCAUAGAUAUCACGCAGAACUCCGAUUGCGAAGGCAGCAUACCGGCGCCCAACUGACGCUGAAGCACGAAAGCGUGGGUAUCGAACAGGAUUAGAUACCCGGGUAGUC